GUUUCAGCAGCCGCGGUAAUACGGAGGGUGCAAACGUUGCUCGGAAUCAUUGGGCGUAAAGCGUGUGUAGGCGGCCUGUUAAGUCGGGUGUGAAAGCCCCGGGCUCAACCCGGGAAGUGCAUUCGAUACUGGCAGGCUUGAGUACGGGAGAGGGUCGCGGAAUUCCCGGUGUAGAGGUGAAAUUCGUAGAUAUCGGGAGGAACACCAGUGGCGAAGGCGGCGACCUGGACCGAUACUGACGCUGAGACACGAAAGCGUGGGGAGCAAACAGGAUUAGAAACCCGUGUAGUCC
Molecule: ribosomal RNA, 292 nt
Filed under: uncultured bacterium
Lineage: Bacteria
Description: partial 16S ribosomal RNA
Rfam family: Bacterial small subunit ribosomal RNA
Source: RNAcentral